Odocoileus virginianus texanus is the source of this 537-nucleotide non-coding RNA. Lineage: Eukaryota; Metazoa; Chordata; Mammalia; Artiodactyla; Cervidae. The record is from RefSeq and is a predicted model, not a curated record.
UAGAAACCUUGUGAUUCAUCAUCAAACACGACAACAGCCAUGACCACGCGAGAGUGUCUCUGAGAUAUAAGAGAUUAACUCUGAGAACAAACUCGUAACUUUUAACGCAAGAAUUGACUCAUAGAAAAUUCCUCAGUCUCUCUUAUUGGAUUCUCUAAUAUCAUACCUGCCUUUGCAUUAUUAUCAUUGAAGUUUGUCUCAGGUGGCAAGUUUGCUCCAGAAAAAGAGAUGACCAAAUCAUGCGUGCACAGUCAACAAGGAGUUGUAUCCUCAGCUGGCUUUAAACAUACAUCCUGUGGUAGCAGGGCGUUGCCUGUUGCCUCUCCAAGCAAAAAGUUAUCAUGAGGAUGAAUUUUUGUUGCUAUGAAUGAGAUUAAAAAAAAAGAACAAAAGAAAACACUUAGUAUUGGAAAAACUGGACAGACUUCUGUGGAUCAAUGAAGAUAGAAGACAUCUUCACCAAAAUAAACUCAAAGUGCCUUAAAAACUUACAUUUAAUUAAAGACACAACACCAUAAAACUGUUAGAGGUCCUCAA